Long non-coding RNA from Canis lupus familiaris (dog), 1369 nucleotides. RefSeq lists it as uncharacterized. The record is from RefSeq and is a predicted model, not a curated record. The transcript is spliced from 3 exons. NCBI's taxonomy places the organism in Eukaryota, Metazoa, Chordata, Mammalia, Carnivora, Canidae.
CCAUUCUUUUCCAAUCUAGUCACGUGUGUAAGAUGAGAAAGAAUUCAUAAUCCGCCUUUGAACGUGAACUUCUGGAGAAUGACAAACAAUGAAGAGAAAUAAUGAUAAAGAUCAACGUCAAGCUGGAAUGGAGCAAGCAGAAGGGAAAGAAGUCAGCAUGGCUUGGUGUAAGGAAAUGUGUAAUUCCUCCCCACUCUGAAUUUUUCGUUAUUCCUGCCCCUUCUCAGCGUGGAGCAUCGGCUGCCCUGGUUAGCUGUGAUCAUCCCAGGAAAGGAUUGUCGUAGGAAAAUGAACUGGGAAAAGACAACUGACUCCAAGCGUCUCAGGGCAAAGAAAUAACUUGGGGGGUGACUGCAUUCACAUCACUCGACACACACACCCCCUAAGAGAAGACUCCCCGUGCUUCAGGAAGCGGGAAAGGCAGACAAAAGGGAAAAGGACUCUUUAGAACCUUUAAGCAACUGAUGGGCAUCAUGGCUUUUCAGAAAUGGGAUUCAGAGCAUGGCAUUUCCCAGAUUCCUGCUAUUAUGGAAGCUGAUUUCCUGUGAUGAAAAAAAUGUCAUUUCAGCGGAGCUCUGAGAACUUUUGGAAUGUGUGCACCAGGUCUGAAAAUGCAGAGUGGACUAUGACACAGAAAGAAAGACAUGUGUACAUGCUUUUGCAGGAGCAAGGAGUGGAUGAAAUUAGUUUCCUCUAGCAAUACCUCAUGAUUGAAAUAUCCAAAGAUCUCAAGGAAAAUUUAAAAAAUCAGAACAGUUGAAGAAAUAGAUGAUGGGAAGAAACUAUUUCUUUCCCCAGCUCCCCUGUCCCUCAGGCAGGGCUUUUGCACCAGCUCCCAGAGUUUCCCUAUUGGAAGAUGAUUUAAUAACACUCCUCCCUGUGUCAAUGUAUUUCACUGUAAUCUCUCACCACCUAAACUAAUUGCUUGCACUUGAACCUUUGUCCCAGCACCAGCUGCCAGAGAGACUCAGAGUAAAACACAUGUAUUCUGGGCACUGAAAUGUUGGUACGAACAAGCAUGUAAGGGCCAUGCUGCCCAGGGUCUCUUGUCUGACAACAGCUGACAUAGUUCCACAUCAUCUUCACAAAUAACAGUAACCUGGCUUUCUGAGCAUAAGCUGAUCUAGAUACUAGAAUUUAGCUUGAGCAUAAACACAUGGACAAGAAUAUGAUUUUGUGAAGCAGGGAGGUCAAAAUGAGAAUUUCUUUUCACUAAGGAGUUGGUGAGAAGAGCCAUGAGGCUGAGUGAGCCACCUUUGCACCUGCCACGAGAAUGUGUGGAUUACUAUGCCUCUUGUUUUAUGCUGUGCUGCCUUCCUCUUCGGAGUGUCUCACAUGUUCUUACCCUGCUCUGGGGUUUUUCAUUCCU